This 938-nucleotide ribosomal RNA is filed under the name uncultured Thermococcales archaeon. Its description in RNAcentral is "bacterial SSU rRNA". It matches the Rfam family "Archaeal small subunit ribosomal RNA", at positions 547 to 1478 of the family's 1478-position model. Lineage: Archaea; Methanobacteriati; Methanobacteriota; Thermococci; Thermococcales. The record is from RNAcentral.
AAAUCCCACGGCUCAACCGUGGGGCUUGCUGGGGAUACUGCGGGCCUUGGGACCGGGAGAGGCCGGGGGUACCCCUGGGGUAGGGGUGAAAUCCUGUAAUCCCAGGGGGACCGCCAGUGGCGAAGGCGCCCGGCUGGAACGGGUCCGACGGUGAGGGACGAAGGCCAGGGGAGCGAACCGGAUUAGAUACCCGGGUAGUCCUGGCUGUAAAGGAUGCGGGCUAGGUGUCGGGCGAGCUUCGAGCUCGCCCGGUGCCGAAGGGAAGCCGUUAAGCCCGCCGCCUGGGGAGUACGGCCGCAAGGCUGAAACUUAAAGGAAUUGGCGGGGGAGCACUACAAGGGGCGGAGCGUGCGGUUUAAUUGGGUUCAACGCCGGGAACCUCACCGGGGGCGACGGCAGGAUGAAGGCCAGGCUGAAGGUCUUGCCGGACGCGCCGAGAGGAGGUGCAUGGCCGCCGUCAGCUCGUACCGUGAGGCGUCCACUUAAGUGUGGUAACGAGCGAGACCCGCGCCCCCAGUUGCCAGUCCUCCCCGCUGGGGAGGAGGCACUCUGGGGGGACUGCCGGCGAUAAGCCGGAGGAAGGAGCGGGCGACGGUAGGUCAGUAUGCCCCGAAACCCCCGGGCUACACGCGCGCUACAAUGGGCGGGACAAUGGGAUCCGACCCCGAAAGGGGAAGGGAAUCCCCUAAACCCGCCCCCAGUUCGGAUCGCGGGCUGCAACUCGCCCGCGUGAAGCUGGAAUCCCUAGUACCCGCGUGUCAUCAUCGCGCGGCGAAUACGUCCCUGCUCCUUGCACACACCGCCCGUCACUCCACCCGAGCGGGGUCCGGGUGAGGCCUGGUCUCCCUUCGGGGAGGCCGGGUCGAGCCUGGGCUCCGUGAGGGGGGAGAAGUCGUAACAAGGUAGCCGUAGGGGAACCUACGGCUCGAUCACCUCCU